GCUGGGUGUGGUGGUGGGCACCUGUAGUCUCAGCCACUUGGGAGACUGAGGCAGGAGGACCACUUGAGCUCAGGAGUGCAUGGCCAGCCUAGGCAACACGGAUUGAUCCUGUAUCAA
This 117-nucleotide small RNA is filed under the name Marmota monax (woodchuck). Lineage: Eukaryota; Metazoa; Chordata; Mammalia; Rodentia; Sciuridae. The record is from RNAcentral.